Molecule: ribosomal RNA, 392 nt
Filed under: uncultured bacterium
Lineage: Bacteria
Description: bacterial SSU rRNA
Rfam family: Bacterial small subunit ribosomal RNA
Source: RNAcentral
GACGAACGCUGGCGGCGUGCUUAACACAUGCAAGUCGAGCGAGGCCCACUCUUCGGGGUGGUGCCCUAGCGGCGAACGGGUGAGUAACACGUGGGCAACCUGCCCUCAGCUCUGGGAUAACUCCAAGAAAUUGGUGCUAAUACCGGAUGUGACCGCUGACCGCAUGGUCUGGUGGUGGAAAGUUUUUCGGUCUGGGAUGGGCUCGCGGACUAUCAGCUUGUUGGUGGGGUGANGGCCUACCAAGGCGACGACGGUUAGCCGGCCUGAGAGGGCGACCGGCCACACUGGGACUGAGACACGGCCCAGACUCCUACGGGAGGCAGCAGUGGGGAAUAUUGCACAAUGGGCGGAAGCCUGAUGCAGCGACGCCGCGUGAGGGAUGACGGCCUGGU